Molecule: ribosomal RNA, 119 nt
Organism: Lepisosteus oculatus (spotted gar)
Lineage: Eukaryota; Metazoa; Chordata; Actinopteri; Semionotiformes; Lepisosteidae
Source: Ensembl
CACAGCAGCCAUAUCACUCUGCAACUCACAAAGGGCAGCCCACUGAAGCUAAGCAGGUGUGAGCCUGGUCAGUACCUGGAUGGGAGACCUCCUGGGAAAAACUAAGGUUGCUGCUGGUG